This 449-nucleotide ribosomal RNA is filed under the name uncultured bacterium. RNAcentral describes it as "partial 16S ribosomal RNA". It matches the Rfam family "Bacterial small subunit ribosomal RNA", at positions 29 to 523 of the family's 1533-position model. The record is from RNAcentral.
AGCGAACGCUGGCGGCAGGCCUAACACAUGCAAGUCGAACGGAUCCUUCGGGAUUAGUGGCGGACGGGUGAGUAACACGUGGGAACGUGCCCUUUGGUUCGGAACAACUCAGGGAAACUUGAGCUAAUACCGGAUGUGCCCUUCGGGGGAAAGAUUUAUCGCCAUUGGAGCGGCCCGCGUCUGAUUAGCUAGUUGGUGAGGUAAAGGCUCACCAAGGCGACGAUCAGUAGCUGGUCUGAGAGGAUGAUCAGCCACAUUGGGACUGAGACACGGCCCAAACUCCUACGGGAGGCAGCAGUGGGGAAUUUUGCGCAAUGGGCGAAAGCCUGACGCAGCCAUGCCGCGUGAAUGAUGAAGGUCUUAGGAUUGUAAAAUUCUCUCACCGGGGACGAUAAUGACGGUACCCGGAGAAGAAGCCCCGGCUAACUUCGUGCCAGCCGCCGCGGUAA